AAAGUCGUAACAAGGUUUCCGUAGGUGAACCUGCGGAAGGAUCAUUAUUGAAUAAAACUUGGUUGGGCUGUUGCUGAUCCUCCAGGAUAUAUGUGCACGCCUACCGACCAACUUUUUACCACCUGUGCACCUUUUGUAGAUGCUGGAUAUCUCUCGAGUGCCCAACUCGGUUUUGAGGACUGCCCCAAGCUUUCCUCAAAUUUCUGCUCUACGUUUUUUUAAUAUACCCCAUUGCAUGUCAUUGAAUGUUAUUGAUAUAGGCCUUUGUUGCCUUUAAAAUCUAUACAACUUUCAACAACGGAUCUCUUGGCUCUC
This 315-nucleotide unclassified non-coding RNA is filed under the name Basidiomycota sp. Its description in RNAcentral is "partial contains small subunit ribosomal RNA, internal transcribed spacer 1, and 5.8S ribosomal RNA". The stretch from base 1 to 47 matches the Rfam family "Eukaryotic small subunit ribosomal RNA", at positions 1785 to 1831 of the family's 1831-position model. The record is from RNAcentral. Lineage: Eukaryota; Fungi; Basidiomycota.